RNAcentral lists this ribosomal RNA (495 nucleotides) under uncultured bacterium. RNAcentral describes it as "partial 16S ribosomal RNA". It matches the Rfam family "Bacterial small subunit ribosomal RNA", at positions 28 to 507 of the family's 1533-position model. The record is from RNAcentral.
GACGAACGCUGGCGGCGUGCCUAAUACAUGCAAGUAGAACGCUGAAGGAGGAGCUUGCUCUUCUGGAUGAGUUGCGAACGGGUGAGUAACGCGUAGGUAACCUGCAUGGUAGCGGGGGAUAACUAUUGGAAACGAUAGCUAAUACCGCAUAACAGUAGAUGUUGCAUGACAUUUACUUAAAAGGUGCAAUUGCAUCACUACCAGAUGGACCUGCGUUGUAUUAGCUAGUUGGUGGUGUAACGGCUCACCAAGGCGACGAUACAUAGCCGACCUGAGAGGGUGAUCCGCCACACCGGGACUGAGACACGGCCCAGACUCCUACGGGAGGCAGCAGUAGGGAAUCUUCGGCAAUGGACGGAAGUCUGGCCGAGCAACGCCGCGUGAGUGAAGAAGGUUUUCGGGUCGUAAAGCUCUGUUGUAAGAGAAGAACGAGUGUGAGAGUUGAAAGUUCACACUGUGACGGUAUCUUACCAGAAAGGGACGGCUAACUACGUG